This 492-nucleotide ribosomal RNA is filed under the name uncultured bacterium. Its description in RNAcentral is "partial 16S ribosomal RNA". It matches the Rfam family "Bacterial small subunit ribosomal RNA", at positions 29 to 507 of the family's 1533-position model. The record is from RNAcentral.
AGUGAACGCUGGCGGUAGGCCUAACACAUGCAAGUCGAACGGCAGCACGGUGCGAUCUUGCUCUUACGGGUGGCGAAUGGCGGACGGGUGAGGAAUACAUCGGACUCUACUUUUUCGUGGGGGUUCACGUAGGGAAACUUACGCUAAUACCGCAUACGCCCUACGGGUGAAAGCAGUGGAUCUUCGGACCUUGCGGGAUUGAAUGAGCCGCUGUCGGAUUGGCUAGUUGGCGGGGUAAAGGCCCAGCAAGGCGACGAUCCGUAGCUGGUCUGGGAGGAUGGUCGGCCACACUGGAACUGAGCCACGGACCAGACUCCUGCGGGAGGCAGCAGUGGGGAAUAUUGGACAAUGGGCGCGAGCCUGAUCCAGCCAUACCGCGUGUGUGAAGAAGGCCUUCGGGUUGUAAAGCCCUUUUGUUGGGAGAGAAAAGCAGCAGGUUAAUACCCCGCUGUUCUGACGGUACCCAAAGAAUAAGCACCGGCUAACUUCGUG